Otolemur garnettii (small-eared galago) is the source of this 101-nucleotide unclassified non-coding RNA. It matches the Rfam family "Y RNA". From Rfam's summary of the family: Y RNAs are components of the Ro ribonucleoprotein particle (Ro RNP), in association with Ro60 and La proteins. Lineage: Eukaryota; Metazoa; Chordata; Mammalia; Primates; Galagidae. The record is from Ensembl.
GUCUGGUCCAAGUCCAGUGGUAUUUACAACUAAUUGAUCACACCCAGUUAUAGAUUCCAUUGAUCCUUCUCCACUUCCACUGUUUCACUUGACUAGCUUAA